RNAcentral lists this ribosomal RNA (253 nucleotides) under uncultured bacterium. RNAcentral's name for it is "partial 16S ribosomal RNA". It matches the Rfam family "Bacterial small subunit ribosomal RNA", at positions 524 to 776 of the family's 1533-position model. The record is from RNAcentral.
UACAGAGGUCCCAAGCGUUGUUCGGAUUCAUUGGGCGUAAAGGGUGCGUAGGCGGUUUUGUAAGUCUUGUGUGAAAUCUUCAGGCUCAACUUGAAGACUGCACGAGAAACUGCAGGGCUUGAGUGUGGGAGAGGUGAGUGGAAUUCCUGGUGUAGCGGUGAAAUGCGUAGAUAUCAGGAGGAACACCUGUGGCGAAAGCGGCUCACUGGACCACAACUGACGCUGAUGCACGAAAGCUAGGGGAGCAAACAGG